GACGAACGCUGGCGGCGUGCUUACACAUGCAAGUCGAGCGGUAAGGCUCCUUCGGGAGUACACGAGCGGCGAACGGGUGAGUAACACGUGAGUAAUCUGCCCUUCACUUCGGGAUAACCGCCGGAAACGGUGGCUAAUACCGGAUACGACGCGUUCUCGCAUGAGAUGCGCGUGGAAAGUCUUCUCGGUGGAGGAUGUGCUCGCGGCCUAUCAGCUUGUUGGUGAGGUAACGGCUCACCAAGGCUUCGACGGGUAGCCGGCCUGAGAGGGUGACCGGCCACACUGGGACUGAGACACGGCCCAGACUCCUACGGGAGGCAGCAGUGGGGAAUAUUGGACAAUGGGCGAAAGCCUGAUCCAGCAACGCCGCGUGAGGGAUGACGGCCUUCGGGUUGUAAACCUCUUUCAGUACCGACGAAGCGCCUUUUACGGUGGUGACGGUAGGUACAGAAGAAGGACCGGCCAACUACGUGCCAGCAGCCGCGGUAAUACGUAGGGUCCGAGCGUUGUCCGGAAUUAUUGGGCGUAAAGGGCUCGUAGGCGGUUUGUCGCGUCGGGAGUGAAAACUUACAGCUUAACUGUGAGCGUGCUUCCGAUACGGGCAGACUUGAGGUAUUCAGGGGAGAACGGAAUUCCUGGUGUAGCUGGUGAAAUGCGCAGAUAUCAGGAGGAACACCGGGUGGCGAAGGCGGUUCUCUGGGAAUAUCCUG
This 710-nucleotide ribosomal RNA is filed under the name uncultured Actinomycetes bacterium. RNAcentral describes it as "bacterial SSU rRNA". It matches the Rfam family "Bacterial small subunit ribosomal RNA", at positions 28 to 742 of the family's 1533-position model. The record is from RNAcentral. Lineage: Bacteria; Bacillati; Actinomycetota; Actinomycetes.